RNAcentral lists this ribosomal RNA (647 nucleotides) under uncultured bacterium. RNAcentral's name for it is "bacterial SSU rRNA". It matches the Rfam family "Bacterial small subunit ribosomal RNA", at positions 54 to 749 of the family's 1533-position model. The record is from RNAcentral.
CAUGCAAGUCGAGCGCCCCGCAAGGGGAACGGCAGACGGGUGAGUAACGCGUGGGAAUCUACCCAUCACUACGGAACAACUCCGGGAAACUGGAGCUAAUACCGUAUACGUCCUUCGGGAGAAAGAUUUAUCGGUGAUGGAUGAGCCCGCGUUGGAUUAGCUAGUUGGUGGGGUAAUGGCCUACCAAGGCGACGAUCCAUAGCUGGUCUGAGAGGAUGAUCAGCCACACUGGGACUGAGACACGGCCCAGACUCCUACGGGAGGCAGCAGUGGGGAAUAUUGGACAAUGGGCGAAAGCCUGAUCCAGCCAUGCCGCGUGAGUGAUGAAGGCCCUAGGGUUGUAAAGCUCUUUCAACGGUGAAGAUAAUGACGGUAACCGUAGAAGAAGCCCCGGCUAACUUCGUGCCAGCAGCCGCGGUAAUACGAAGGGGGCUAGCGUUGUUCGGAAUUACUGGGCGUAAAGCGCACGUAGGCGGAUUGUUUAGUUAGGGGUGAAAUCCCAGGGCUCAACCCUGGAACUGCCUCUAAUACUGGCAAUCUAGAGUCCGAGAGAGGUGGGUGGAAUUCCGAGUGUAGAGGUGAAAUUCGUAGAUAUUCGGAGGAACACCAGUGGCGAAAGCGGCUCACUGGCUCGGUACUGACGCUGA